This is a long non-coding RNA of Cavia porcellus (domestic guinea pig), 1637 nucleotides long. RefSeq lists it as uncharacterized. The record is from RefSeq and is a predicted model, not a curated record. The transcript is spliced from 2 exons. NCBI's taxonomy places the organism in Eukaryota, Metazoa, Chordata, Mammalia, Rodentia, Caviidae.
UUUUGUCUUUUUUGUUUUUAUCGGUACCAGGGAUCGAACUCACGACUGCCUGCUUGCAAGGCAAGCGCUUAUGCCGCUGAGCUAAAUCCCCAGCCCCCAUAUAUCUAACUUGGAGAACUGUUUCACUGGGCAUCAUGCUGUAGGCCUGUAAUCUUAGCUACUUGAGAGGCUGAGGCAGGAAGAUUCUUCAGCUGUAGCUCAGUGAUAGAAUACCCUGGAUUUAAUGCCCAAUACCACAGUUUUUUUUUUCUCUCCCCUUUUUUCUUUCUUUUUCUCUUUCUUUUUGGUUGGUUUUUGAGACAGGGUCUCCAAAAGAGCUGGACUUGAACUCACCAUGUAGCCCAGCUGACCUCAGACUCUUGGCAGUCCUCUUGCAUCAGCCUCCCAAGUGCUGGGAUUGCAGGUAUUUUGUCUCAGCAAUGAGAGAAAAAUAACCAAGACAAAUGGCUUCUUUUCAAUUCAACUGAAAAGUUGGCAAAGCAGUAAACAACGGCAAACUGACCUUUCCAAGAUUGAGAAUUCAGACACUGUAAAACAAUUUGGGGAAGAAAAAGAGGAUGAUGGAUCUCUGGGAUGCAGGAAGGAUCUGAAGGGAAAAUUGGAGCCCACAGAGAAAAUGAAAAGACUGACCCACAGCAGAAAAGAGGAGGAGGCAAUCUGUACUUUUUACCUGGCUCUCAGCUUGUGUCUGGAGAGAAGAGGAUCAAAUCCGCAGGGACACAGUGAGGGUGGUGACUCCAGGGAGGAACCCACCAGUGGAACAGAGCAGUGGAUGCUGUGAGCUACAGCGGCAGGCGAGUGACUCCAGGCCAAGAGACUGCUGUAUCCCCUGAAGAGGACAGGUACCAUGUGAGGAAGAGGCCAGCUGGACCUGGAGCUCAGAGCAGCCAGGGGUUAGCUUCAUCUCAGGGCACCCAGUGUUGAAAUCCCAUAAUGACUGAGUGAAGAGACAACUUCAGGAGAUGUCCAGGGUCAGGGAGUGAAGGCCAGGCCUGCUAAGGACACCCAGAGAAUUGUCGGCUGACUGACUCAGGCCCCAGCACCACAACCAGACACCAUGAUUAGCCAAACUUCUGUGGGUCCGAAAGUACCAAAACUGGCACCCUGCCCUAACUCUGUGGCAGGCUUGCUGGGUCAUCCAGCACAGAUCUUGACUCUGCUACCAGAGACAGCACAGCUGUGCUCUGAGUGAGACAAGCCAUGAUAGGCUUGAAAUCACAGAGAAAUUCUUUCUUUGUCUCUGCUGUUGGUUUUGGUGAGUUUUUUGAUUGUUCGUUUUUGUUUUUUGUGAGUGUGAACAUUUAGAUUUCUUCUUGUUUCAUUUUUUCCUUUUCUUCCCCUCCUGUCUUCAGUUUCCCAAGGCUUGAGUAAUCCUCCUUUGUCCUUCAGCUUUGCUUUUAAUCUUUAUUUUUCUUUUUUUAAAAUUUUAUUUAAAGACUAAACAAAACAGAAAAUAGAAAUAAUACAUACUUUCAGAGAAGAAAAACAUAAACAGUAAGAAAUCACUAGUUGAUGUUUACAUAUUGUCGUUUUACAAAUAGUUGUUCAAGAUACAAAAGUGGAACAUGUAAAGUGGGAAUUCAAACAGUGACAGCUCAAACAGUUCUGUUCAACUGUCCAACAAAAACUUAGUAACA